RNAcentral lists this ribosomal RNA (253 nucleotides) under uncultured bacterium. Its description in RNAcentral is "partial 16S ribosomal RNA". It matches the Rfam family "Bacterial small subunit ribosomal RNA", at positions 524 to 776 of the family's 1533-position model. The record is from RNAcentral.
UACGUAGGGUGCGAGCGUUGUCCGGAAUUAUUGGGCGUAAAGGGCUCGUAGGCGGUUUGUCGCGUCGGGAGUGAAAACCAGGUGCUUAACACCUGGCUUGCUUUCGAUACGGGCAGACUAGAGGCAUGCAGGGGAGAACGGAAUUCCUGGUGUAGCGGUGGAAUGCGCAGAUAUCAGGAGGAACACCAAUAGCGAAGGCAGCUCGCUGGGACGGUACUGACGCUAAGGCGCGAAAGCGUGGGGAGCGAACAGG